This 460-nucleotide ribosomal RNA is filed under the name uncultured bacterium. RNAcentral describes it as "partial 16S ribosomal RNA". It matches the Rfam family "Bacterial small subunit ribosomal RNA", at positions 338 to 795 of the family's 1533-position model. The record is from RNAcentral.
CCUACGGGUGGCAGCAGUGAGGAAUAUUGGUCAAUGGACGCAAGUCUGAACCAGCCAUGCCGCGUGCAGGAAGACGGCUCUAUGGGUUGUAAACUGCUUUUAUACGGGAAUAAACGCAGAUACGCGUAUCUGUCUGAAAGUAUCUUACGAAUAAGGAUCGGCUAACUCCGUGCCAGCAGCCGCGGUAAUACGGAGGAUUCAAGCGUUAUCCGGAUUUAUUGGGUUUAAAGGGUGCGUAGGCGGUCGGAUAAGUUAGAGGUGAAAUCCUGAGGCUAAACUUCGGAAUUGCAUUUGAUACUGUUCGGCUAGAGAGUAGUUGAGGUAGGCGGAAUGUAUGGUGUAGCGGUGAAAUGCUUAGAGAUCAUACAGAACACCGAUUGCGAAGGCAGCUUACCAAGCUACCUCUGACGUUGAGGCACGAAAGCGUGGGGAGCAAACAGGAUUAGAUACCCUAGUAGUC